RNAcentral lists this ribosomal RNA (503 nucleotides) under uncultured bacterium. RNAcentral describes it as "partial 16S ribosomal RNA". It matches the Rfam family "Bacterial small subunit ribosomal RNA", at positions 28 to 523 of the family's 1533-position model. The record is from RNAcentral.
GAUGAACGCUAGCGGCAGGCUUAAUACAUGCAAGUCGAGGGGCAGCAGUUUUGUAGCAAUACAGAAGCUGGCGACCGGCAAACGGGUGCGGAACACGUACGCAACCUUCCUUUAACUGGGAGAUAGCCCACCGAAAGGUGGAUUAAUAUCCCAUAAUAUAACUGAAUGGCAUCAUUUAGAUAUUAAAGCUCCGGCGGUUAAAGAUGGGCGUGCGUCUGAUUAGGUAGUUGGCGGGGUAACGGCCCACCAAGCCUUCGAUCAGUAGCUGAUGUGAGAGCAAGAUCAGCCAAACGGGCACUGAGAGACGGGCCCGAAUCCUACGGGAGGCAGCAGUAAGGAAUAUUGGUCAAUGGACGCAAGUCUGAACCAGCCAUGCCGCGUGGAGGAUGAAGGCCCUCUGGGUUGUAAACUUCUUUUCUUUGGGACGAAACCCCUGUUUCUACGGGGACUGACGGUACCAGAGGAAUAAGCACCGGCUAACUCCGUGCCAGCCGCCGCAGUAA